CUGAAGAGGGAAGACCCACCCAGGGUGUGGGUGGCACCACCCAAUAGGCUUGGAACCUGGAUGGAAUAAAAAGGGAAAGAAGAAGGAAGUCUUUCUGCUUCCUACCUGCCAUGCUCAUCUACUGUGCUGCCUUGCCUUGGAGCCAGCUGACUACAGACUGAAACCUCUACAAAUUGUAGUAAAGAACAAUUCUAUUUUGACACAAUAGCUGUCUUGGGAUUUGGCUUCCAGAACCAUCCAGGAGGCAAAAUUACAAUUCCACUGUCAAGUGUAUAGUUGCUUUUAAACACAAAAGCUGUCCUUAUAAAAGUUGCAUCCCACAAGAACAUUUGUGGAUUCAAAAAUAUCCUAUUUAGCUUCUCUGGACUUGGAAUAGGAUAUCAAUACUGGCUUAAAAUUAUCUGUGGCAGAUUUUUAAAUGUUUUGGAAGAGAAAGUGAGGAGAGAAGAAAAGAUGAAAUGGGGACUUUUUUCAUUUGGCUUAAAAUCAAUGAUUCAAGACUGGUGUUCACUGCCUGGGAAAUGAAGCCUCUGGUGAGCAUCAUGGUGUAUGUAGUCCAGCUACAUGUGGUUCAUGAUUUGCACAGGUUUCCCCACUUUGCAUCAUGAGCAUUGGCUGAAAUUAUUCAGGGAGAUGUGCUAGCUAUAGAGAAUAUGAUUUAGAACUGUAUUCCUGGCUUGCAAACUCCCUAUCCAAGAUUGUGUUGGAUUGAUACAACUGCUGCUUGGAACCUAGGAAUGUGAUUGAGAACAGCCAUGUCCAUGGUCAGUGUGGGCACAAUCUGGCAUGGUCUUGGAGGCAGAGGUGCUGACAAAUGGAGAGCCAUGAUGCAUUUGGACAAACCAGGAAACCAUCUGUGGGCCCAAAGAAAAGACCUAUGAGAAUGCCUGCCCAUUCAAGGAGCUAAACUCUCAGAUGACCACCAACUUCGAUCUCUCAGAUGGGCAUGAAACACAAAAUGCUUUGUGAUUCAGCCCUCCUCUUCCAUGCCUCCUUGCCUUGGAAUUAGUUGACGGUGGACUGAAACUUCUACAAACU
Non-coding RNA from Heterocephalus glaber (naked mole-rat), 1038 nucleotides. NCBI's taxonomy places the organism in Eukaryota, Metazoa, Chordata, Mammalia, Rodentia, Bathyergidae. The record is from RefSeq and is a predicted model, not a curated record.